CGUAUACUAAAAUUCAGUAUAUAGCUAUAUUAAUAAUAGUUAACAAUAGUAGAGUAUAUUAGAAAUCAUCUGAACGUUAAUAGAGUUUUUGAUGUCAAAGCACUGAUAUUCUAGUUACGGAAGCUCGUGCGAUUGGCGCAUGACGUCAGCAACAGAGUAAAGCAUAAUCCCGUCCAUGCGUUCGUAAUACGAACGCGAAUGAAAUUUGAGAAUAGUAAAAAUGAAUGAAUUAUGUUUAGAAGAAACUAAGUGAUUUUUAUAGUUUAGAGGAAAAUAAUUAAACUAUUUCCUUUCAUUUAAAUAGAUUUUCAGUUAUUUGUUUCCCAGUCUCGAUUAUGUUGGGAUCCGGAAAAUAAAAAUUUUCAUAAAAUCGAUAUCUAAUAAAAUUAUUAUAUUUAGUUAGUUGGCAAAAAUUGAUUAUUGGUCUACACAUUAGAAAAUAUAAUCUUUACCAAGGGGAAGAGAAACCCCAAAAAUUGAAACCAUAAAUUUAAUGGAUUGUUAAAAUAACAAAAUGUUUACUUUUUAAAUAGGUAAUGUAAUAGGUAAUCAGAUUUAAGUGACAGGCUCGGAAAAGACAAAAAUAAGUUUUACAGUUUUCAUGCCAUGCACUUUAUUCAAAUUUUGUGAUUGUGAAAUAGACGUACAUACAGCAACUAUGUAGCAGUUUUUAAAAUUUUGCUUUUACGCAAUGUCAGGUUGUUAAGAGACUUGUUUAAUUCUUUAAUUCGAAAGUACAUCCGAGACCUAAAAAAUAACUUCUUCGCUUUAUUAGAACAGUCUACAGUUACACUUUUGGACAUAAGGUUUUCUAAAUAAUUUUUAGUUACCAAAAUGGAAUCACCAUUUGUGGAACAAAAAAUUGUCCCCAGUUACUCAAUAUAUGACAAGAAAUUGCCUGAUGGUGUUGUAACGUUACAAACGUCACAUCUUUGAUAUUUUAUUUUUAAAUAAUUAUUUUACCAUAUUUCCUUUAAUAUUUCAUUAAUAAUUAUCUUCUUCUAUUUGGUUUACCCAUUUCCCCCUUUAAAAAUCGGUUGGCGCUCAUUUAUUAUCCUCUUUUAUUAUCCUCUGUUAUUUCUAUUUAAUAUAUCUCUUUCAUUUAAAUCAUCAUACUGAACAUACCUCGUAUAUUCAUACUCUCCAAAUAUCUGUAUUUUCAAUACGGAACAUGCCGCUACUUCAUAGUACUUGGUUGUCAUUUUAAAUGUCGUUUUCAAUGACAGUGUCACUUCAUCGACUUGACCCCCUACUCCCUGACAUACACUGGAAGGGAAAAAUUAAUCCUUAAAAAGGCAUGUAAUUCGAAAAAUAAAUCAUUUCUAUUUCAUCAAAUCAUCUCUUGGGUUUUUUGGAAAGAAACCACUUUUCUCCCUCCGGGAGUUUCAACAACCCUCAAAUCGCCGGCGAUACAACAACGAGGACCAUGUCAUCAGGGCUGCAACCACAUAACCAAGACUGCAACGACCAACAUCCGUAGGCCUGGUGGAAUACAACAUCUACAACCCCAGAGCCCGUUGCAGAACCAGCAGCAGUACCAUACGACAUCAAGAAGAUACCAUCAGCUACCAAAAGCCAUAAGUAUAAUCCAGAAUUGUUAGUUUUUGGCAAGAAUUUGAAUACAUUUGUUAAUGCAAUUUACUAAGUCAUUUUAUUUAUUAUAUCUUUAUGAACAAUAAACAUGAUUAGUUAAAAACUA
Molecule: long non-coding RNA, 1699 nt
Filed under: Diabrotica virgifera virgifera (western corn rootworm)
Lineage: Eukaryota; Metazoa; Arthropoda; Insecta; Coleoptera; Chrysomelidae
Description: uncharacterized LOC126880152
Source: RNAcentral